CCUACGGGAGGCAGCAGUGGGGAAUAUUGGACAAUGGGCGGAAGCCUGAUCCAGCAACGCCGCGUGAGGGAUGACGGCCUUCGGGUUGUAAACCUCUUUCAGUACCGACGAAGCGAGAGUGACGGUAGGUACAGAAGAAGCACCGGCCAACUACGUGCCAGCAGCCGCGGUAAUACGUAGGGUGCGAGCGUUGUCCGGAAUUAUUGGGCGUAAAGGGCUCGUAGGCGGUUUGUCGCGUCGGGAGUGAAACACCGGGCUUAACUCGGUGCUUGCUUUCGAUACGGGCAGACUAGAGGUAUGCAGGGGAGAACGGAAUUCCUGGUGUAGCGGUGAAAUGCGCAGAUAUCAGGAGGAACACCGGUGGCGAAGGCGGUUCUCUGGGCAUUACCUGACGCUGAGGAGCGAAAGUGUGGGGAGCGAACAGGAUUAGAUACCCUGGUAGUCCACACCGUAAACGUUGGCGCUAGGUGUGGGAUCCAUUCCACGGGUUCCGUGCCGCAGCUAACGCAUUAAGCGCCCCGCCUGGGGNGGUACGGCGCGAGACGACGUACANAGAGUAGAGCGUGUGAGUUGCGACGACGACGACGAGGGAGGAGG
Molecule: ribosomal RNA, 597 nt
Filed under: uncultured bacterium
Lineage: Bacteria
Description: bacterial SSU rRNA
Rfam family: Bacterial small subunit ribosomal RNA (bases 1-523)
Source: RNAcentral